Molecule: long non-coding RNA, 1284 nt
Filed under: Vulpes vulpes (red fox)
Lineage: Eukaryota; Metazoa; Chordata; Mammalia; Carnivora; Canidae
Description: lncRNA (ENSVVUG00000009551.1)
Source: RNAcentral
GGGAAUUCCCGGCUCCCAGGCCCCAACUGGGAUCCUGACGACGGAAGGGGCUUCGGUUCCCGGGCCCGGGCGCCCCCUGCGGGGAAGGACGAGCACUCGCAGCCGGCCGGCCGCAGGCGCAGGAAGGAGCGCGGAGGACGGGGGAUCGGCCCCACCUGCUCCUCCUCGGGGCGUCCCCGGUCCCGCACGGGAGCCCAGCCUGUGUGUUCCCGGCUCCUGCGGCCCCCUUGCUGGGGGGCUGGGAGGGGCAGCUGCUCCAGAGACUCCCCAGAGUGCCCGGACCCAAGUGCCAGGCGGUGGGCCGGCGCCCAGAGCCUUCUGCUGGCGGCCCGCGGGACACCUGCCACCCUGCGCUCGCCCACGGACACCUGCUCCCUGUACGAGCUGAGCCCGCGCAGGCGCCUCGCGGCUCCCGCCGGCAGUGCCCUUCCGUCCUCCAUGCCCACGUUUUGUCCGAGCCCACAUUAUUAGCAAAGUCCAGCGUCGGUGUCCCCACCGAGGGGAUCAAGUCACGACAGAGCGGACCCUGCGUCCAGGAACGGUGCUGCGGGCUAUUUAAUCGUCAGGCACUCUUGAGAGCUAUGGUAUCACAGUGAAGCUUGUGGUCUCCGUUGAACCGUGUCCCCUAAAGAGGUGUUGAAGCCUUAGCCCGUCCCUGCGAAGGUGACCUUAUUUGGAAAUGCAGUCUUUGCAGAUAUCAUCAGGUUAAAAAGAGGCCAUUACAGUGGGCUAGUCCAGUAUGGCUGGAUCCUUCUAAGAAGAGACACAGAGAGAGACACAUGCAGAGAGAAGACCACGUGAGGACAGAGGCAGAGAUCGCAGCGAUAAGCCUACAACUGUCAUGUCAGAAGUUAAAACAACGAGUAUCCAGCAGCAAAAGAGUUUAUUUGGGAACAGCGCAGGAACUGCCACGUGAAACACACGAACGAUGGGAGACCGUGGACAAGUCUGGUGAGCAAAGGUGGACGCCGACCCUUUAUAGAGGAAAGGGGAGGGAGUAACUGGGAGAGGAUGUUACGAACAAAAGUUCAUUGGAGGAAAAUGGGAGGCCCAGAGUGGUGGCGGCCUCUCAUUGGCUGCAGGUGAUUAAAGUGACAGUGUCUCAUGGGGAUCCCUGGGUAGCUCAGCGGUUUGGCACCUGCCUUUGGUCCAGGGCGGGAUCCUGGAGACCCUGGAUCAAGUCCCACGUCGGGCUCCCUGCAUGGAGCCAGCUUCUCCUUCCUCCUGUGUCGCUGCCUCUCUCUCAUAAAUAAAUAAAUAAUAAAUCUUUUUGAAAAAAAGUGA